AUCCAUAACGACUCUCGGCAACGGAUAUCUCGGCUCUUGCAUCGAUGAAGAACGUAGCGAAAUGCGAUACUUGGUGUGAAUUGCAGAAUCCCGUGAACCAUCGAGUCUUUGAACGCAAGUUGCGCCCGAAGCCAUUAGGCCGAGGGCACGCCUGCCUGGGUGUCGCA
This 167-nucleotide ribosomal RNA is filed under the name Camoensia scandens. Its description in RNAcentral is "5.8S ribosomal RNA". It matches the Rfam family "5.8S ribosomal RNA". Rfam says of the family: 5.8S ribosomal RNA (5.8S rRNA) is a component of the large subunit of the eukaryotic ribosome. It is transcribed by RNA polymerase I as part of the 45S precursor that also contains 18S and 28S rRNA. The record is from RNAcentral. Lineage: Eukaryota; Viridiplantae; Streptophyta; Magnoliopsida; Fabales; Fabaceae.